AUUGAACGCUGGCGGCACGCCUUACACAUGCAAGUCGAACGGUAACAGGUCUUCGGACGCUGACGAGUGGCGAACGGAUGAGUAAUACAUCGGAACGUGCCCAGUCGUGGGGGAUAACUACUCGAAAGAGUAGCUAAUACCGCAUACGAUCUGAGGAUGAAAGCGGGGGACCUUCGGGCCUCGCGCGAUUGGAGCGGCCGAUGGCAGAUUAGGUAGUUGGUGGGAUAAAAGCUUACCGAGCCGACGAUCUGUAGCUGGUCUGAGAGGACGACCAGCCACACUGGGACUGAGACACGGCCCAGACUCCUACGGGAGGCAGCAGUGGGGAAUUUUGGACAAUGGGCGAAAGCCUGAUCCAGCAAUGCCGCGUGCAGGAUGAAGGCCUUCGGGUUGUAAACUGCUUUUGUACGGAACGAAAAAGCUCCUUCUACUACAGGGGGCCCAUGACGGUACCGUAAGAAUAAGCACCGGCUAACUACGUGCCAGCCGCCGCGGUAA
This 498-nucleotide ribosomal RNA is filed under the name uncultured bacterium. RNAcentral describes it as "partial 16S ribosomal RNA". It matches the Rfam family "Bacterial small subunit ribosomal RNA", at positions 30 to 523 of the family's 1533-position model. The record is from RNAcentral.